CUUGGUGCCAUUAGCCACGGGGGUACACCCGUUCCCUUUCCGAACACGGCAGUUAAGCCCGUGCACGUCGAUGGUAGUGUGGCAUGCGCCAUGCGAGAGUAGAUCGGUGCCAAGA
This 115-nucleotide ribosomal RNA is filed under the name Candidatus Peribacteraceae bacterium. The record is from RNAcentral. Lineage: Bacteria; Candidatus Peregrinibacteriota; Candidatus Peribacteria; Candidatus Peribacterales.